Molecule: ribosomal RNA, 427 nt
Filed under: uncultured bacterium
Lineage: Bacteria
Description: partial 16S ribosomal RNA
Rfam family: Bacterial small subunit ribosomal RNA
Source: RNAcentral
UGGGGAAUAUUGCACAAUGGGCGCAAGCCUGAUGCAGCCAUGCCGCGUGUAUGAAGAAGGCCUUCGGGUUGUAAAGUACUUUCAGCGAGGAGGAAGGCGUUGUGGUUAAUAACCGCAACGAUUGACGUUACUCGCAGAAGAAGCACCGGCUAACUCCGUGCCAGAAGCCGCGGUAAUACGGAGGGUGCAAGAGUUAAUCGGAAUUACUGGGCGUAAAGCGCACGCAGGCGGUCUGUCAAGUCGGAUGUGAAAUCCCCGGGCUCAACCUGGGAACUGCAUCCGAAACUGGCAGGCUAGAGUCUUGUAGAGGGGGGUAGAAUUCCAGGUGUAGCGGUGAAAUGCGUAGAGAUCUGGAGGAAUACCGGUGGCGAAGGCGGCCCCCUGGACAAAGACUGACGCUCAGGUGCGAAAGCGUGGGGAGCAAACA